This 136-nucleotide non-coding RNA is filed under the name Trypanosoma congolense IL3000. Its description in RNAcentral is "Eukaryotic small subunit ribosomal RNA". It matches the Rfam family "Eukaryotic small subunit ribosomal RNA", at positions 1 to 140 of the family's 1831-position model. Lineage: Eukaryota; Euglenozoa; Kinetoplastea; Trypanosomatida; Trypanosomatidae. The record is from Rfam by way of RNAcentral.
GAUCUGGUUGAUUCUGCCAGUAGUCAUAUGCUUGUUUCAGGGACUUAGCCAGGCAUGCCUCAGAAUCACUGCAUGGCAGGAAUCUGGGCAUGGCUCAUUACAUCGGACGUAAUCUGCCGCCAAAAUCUGGCGGUCU